Long non-coding RNA from Dermochelys coriacea (leatherback sea turtle), 96 nucleotides. RefSeq lists it as uncharacterized. The record is from RefSeq and is a predicted model, not a curated record. The transcript has 3 exons. NCBI's taxonomy places the organism in Eukaryota, Metazoa, Chordata, Testudines, Dermochelyidae.
AACAUCAAAUAAUUAGCUGGCAAAAGCUGAAGAACUGGUUCCUUCAGUCACUCCGGAUCUUUGGCGGCACUGAUAGACCUGCCGCUGAAGUGCCCG